RNAcentral lists this ribosomal RNA (1497 nucleotides) under Staphylococcus aureus. RNAcentral describes it as "partial 16S ribosomal RNA". It matches the Rfam family "Bacterial small subunit ribosomal RNA". The record is from RNAcentral. Lineage: Bacteria; Bacillati; Bacillota; Bacilli; Caryophanales; Staphylococcaceae.
UGCAAGUCGAGCGAACGGACGAGAAGCUUGCUUCUCUGAUGUUAGCGGCGGACGGGUGAGUAACACGUGGAUAACCUACCUAUAAGACUGGGAUAACUUCGGGAAACCGGAGCUAAUACCGGAUAAUAUUUUGAACCGCAUGGUUCAAAAGUGAAAGACGGUCUUGCUGUCACUUAUAGAUGGAUCCGCGCUGCAUUAGCUAGUUGGUAAGGUAACGGCUUACCAAGGCAACGAUGCAUAGCCGACCUGAGAGGGUGAUCGGCCACACUGGAACUGAGACACGGUCCAGACUCCUACGGGAGGCAGCAGUAGGGAAUCUUCCGCAAUGGGCGAAAGCCUGACGGAGCAACGCCGCGUGAGUGAUGAAGGUCUUCGGAUCGUAAAACUCUGUUAUUAGGGAAGAACAUAUGUGUAAGUAACUGUGCACAUCUUGACGGUACCUAAUCAGAAAGCCACGGCUAACUACGUGCCAGCAGCCGCGGUAAUACGUAGGUGGCAAGCGUUAUCCGGAAUUAUUGGGCGUAAAGCGCGCGUAGGCGGUUUUUUAAGUCUGAUGUGAAAGCCCACGGCUCAACCGUGGAGGGUCAUUGGAAACUGGAAAACUUGAGUGCAGAAGAGGAAAGUGGAAUUCCAUGUGUAGCGGUGAAAUGCGCAGAGAUAUGGAGGAACACCAGUGGCGAAGGCGACUUUCUGGUCUGUAACUGACGCUGAUGUGCGAAAGCGUGGGGAUCAAACAGGAUUAGAUACCCUGGUAGUCCACGCCGUAAACGAUGAGUGCUAAGUGUUAGGGGGUUUCCGCCCCUUAGUGCUGCAGCUAACGCAUUAAGCACUCCGCCUGGGGAGUACGACCGCAAGGUUGAAACUCAAAGGAAUUGACGGGGACCCGCACAAGCGGUGGAGCAUGUGGUUUAAUUCGAAGCAACGCGAAGAACCUUACCAAAUCUUGACAUCCUUUGACAACUCUAGAGAUAGAGCCUUCCCCUUCGGGGGACAAAGUGACAGGUGGUGCAUGGUUGUCGUCAGCUCGUGUCGUGAGAUGUUGGGUUAAGUCCCGCAACGAGCGCAACCCUUAAGCUUAGUUGCCAUCAUUAAGUUGGGCACUCUAAGUUGACUGCCGGUGACAAACCGGAGGAAGGUGGGGAUGACGUCAAAUCAUCAUGCCCCUUAUGAUUUGGGCUACACACGUGCUACAAUGGACAAUACAAAGGGCAGCGAAACCGCGAGGUCAAGCAAAUCCCAUAAAGUUGUUCUCAGUUCGGAUUGUAGUCUGCAACUCGACUACAUGAAGCUGGAAUCGCUAGUAAUCGUAGAUCAGCAUGCUACGGUGAAUACGUUCCCGGGUCUUGUACACACCGCCCGUCACACCACGAGAGUUUGUAACACCCGAAGCCGGUGGAGUAACCUUUUAGGAGCUAGCCGUCGAAGGUGGGACAAAUGAUUGGGGUGAAGUCGUAACAAGGUAGCCGUAUCGGAAGGUGCGGCUGGAUCACCUCCUUU